RNAcentral lists this ribosomal RNA (252 nucleotides) under uncultured bacterium. Its description in RNAcentral is "partial 16S ribosomal RNA". It matches the Rfam family "Bacterial small subunit ribosomal RNA", at positions 525 to 776 of the family's 1533-position model. The record is from RNAcentral.
ACGGAGGAUGCAAGCGUUAUCCGGAUUUAUUGGGUUUAAAGGGAGCGUAGACGGGAUGUUAAGUCAGCUGUGAAAGUUUGGGGCUCAACCUUAAAAUUGCAGUUGAAACUGGCAUUCUUGAGUGCAUAUGAGGUGGGCGGAAUUCGUGGUGUAGCGGUGAAAUGCUUAGAUAUCACGAAGAACUCCGAUUGCGAAGGCAGCUCACUGGCCUGCAACUGACGUUGAUGCUCGAAAGUGUGGGUAUCAAACAGG